GCUGUUGAGAGAACAGGACAUGGUGAGCCCCGCGAGCCUGGGUGGAGGCCCUCAGGGUGCCCCCCAGCGCACACUCCGUGGGAGACGCCUGGCACUGCUCCUUCAGGUCCGGGGACGCACACUUGGAACUGAGGAGCCGGGACCACUGACGCGGCCCGAGGCGUCCCGCGAGUCCGGAGCCUGUUUCUGACCCAGAGGAGGGGGAAACGCCACAUCCAGGAGCAUCGGGGACACCCUGUGAAGGCUCAGAGGGACGUGUCCGAGGAAGGGGCCUGCACCCAGGACCACGGCCUGUGAGGAGGGAGCGUUCCGGCUCCAGUCCUGGGGCCCCACCCGGCCGUGGGGCCUGGACGCCUCUGCCGUGGGCGCUGGAAACGUGAGCAUAGCUCUGCACGGUUGACUGAACCAGUUACGCCUUUGGAAUCUGACUUCACACACACACAGAUUUUUGAUAAUAACUUAUCUGAGCACAAACACGGCUGGGGCCUGGGAGCCCUGAUGCCACACGUCUGGACACGACGCACACUCCCUCUGCUUUUGGGGAGGAGACCCCUCUGCAGACACUCCAAGGCCUGGGAAGAGACUCUGAACCCACCGGGCUGGGUGACCCCCACCUGCAGUGCCUGGCCUGCUGAGGGCAGCUCCUGAGGGCAGGGUCCACACUGGGCUGCGUGGCUGGAUCAAGGCUGGAUAUGCUGAGCAGAGAGUAGGACCAGACCUUAAGACCCUAAAGACAAACCAAAGAGGAAACACACUGCCACAGCCCGCCUGCCCAAGGUGAAGCGUUAAACCGCGUGAGAGGUCAGUGAGCGACGCGCCGGCCUUUCCUGCACAAUCGGGGCAGGUCUCCACGGCUGCUGCCUGAGAGAUGGGGUUAGAGGCCACGUGGCCUUGAGACGGCUCCCCCGGGUCACCCAGUUGCUCUCACUGCUCACAGGUCUGCAUCCCCUCACAGUGUGCGGUCACGGAACUCCUAAUGAAACUGCCCACUUCCUCCUCGCCUUCCAGCGAAAUGGGUGGCUUUAGCAGAACUAACUCUAGAAGCAUAAAAGUUCUGAUCUGAAGGAACCUUGAUGAUUAUUUGGUGCUGUGGUCCCUGGACCUUGUUAAAUGCAUACUCAGUCCCUCCCUGAGAUGAUAAAAUGCCAUCAUGAUGGUUUGUAGAGGGAGCCAGGACUCUCUGAACUUUACCAGGCCCUCCAAGUUCCUCCAUGGACAAACCCAGGCCUGGCAGUCUGAUUUGUGGUCUGCCAUCUUUUACCAGAAAGCAAACUGGGUCACUGGGCAGGUCCAGACCACAGUCCAUGCUGAGAGUGCUGGGGUGGACCCCACAGCACCCCAGCCUGCCUCCUGCAGCUCAGCUGUUUGGUGAGGGCGCUUCAGCUGCCCUGCUGAAGAGGGUGGGGUGGGAAGGAGCAACCUCAUUCCCUUAAAAAAAUAGAUGGCUUCUUUGGGGAUUCUUUAGAAUCAAAACCUUUAAAAAUAUAAGCAGGGUAAUAGUGCUGACUUCUUCCCCAUUAAGAAGCAUCAGAAUGAAGAGCAAACGAAAAUUUCCUCAACUCACAAGUCAUUAAAACACUCAUGGUUCCAAAUUAUUCUUUAAAAAGCACAGAUUGAUUUUUGGCAUCAUUAUUAGCAAUGAUUAUACAAGCAGACCUGUUACUGUGCUUCGCAGGUACUGGUUUUUGGUUUUUUUUUUUUUUUAAACACACUGAAGGUUUGUGGGCAGUCCUGUGUUGAAUGAACACUUCUGUGAUGGCAUUUCUUGAACAGCAUUAUUUUUUAAGGUUAUGUACAUUGUUUUUUUUAAGACAUACUGCAAUUGCACUUAAUAGACUACACUGCAGUGUAAACAUUACUUUUAUAUACAGGAGAAAAAGAAAAAUUCACAACUUGCUUUACUGCAGUGGUCUGGAACCAAACCCGCAGUAUCUCGGAGGUCUGCCCCUUAACAGGAACCGCCUCACUAAGCGUGUUGGCCAAAUGUGCGGCUUCACCUGAGACACGGUGAGUGACAGGACCCCUUUCCCUGCGGAGAAGUAGAGAAGUGCUGUCCGAGACCUGCGCUGCUCCGCACGUCCGCAGACACGGCCUUCCCCUCCCAGAUACGUGGCUGCAGACUCCCUCACUGAGCCCACCGUCACUUUCGGGAUCCUUCUCUUCACCUGACUCGGGAAGUCAGUUUGGUAGCAGCUGCUCUGUUACCCCUUCCCCCAGAAGGACCCUGCGUGUUCCUCUCCCCCGAAUGCUGCAGGGCACCACCCCUGCUUCCCCUGCCCCGUCCAUUCUGAUUUAAUGGGGGGCAUGGGGGUUAGGAAGGCUCCCCUGGGUGAUUUUCUCGUGCAGCUGGGGUGGAGAAGCACUACCUGGAAAGAAGCCACUUGGGCAGGUAAGGUGGGGGGGUGUGAAGCGGGCAGGAGGGGAGCAGGACCGGGGCCUCCGUUGUCCACAGCUCUGCCCAUGUCACUAGCUUGAGAUCGUGCAGUUAGACUCAGGACAGACUAAGCAAGGGUCUGCUGUUCAGUGAAGAAAGGAAGUAGAGAGCAGGCCUUCUGACGUACCUGUUUUCACAAAGGUGAGCUUUGUCUGAGAGACCUAGAGACAAGUCCCUCCAACGAGCAGCACCUCCAGUCUUCCCGCUCAGCCCCAAACCCGAGACGUCACCACGGAUGGCUCCCUGCCCCUCCCCGUCAGGCCCGGUGGCCUCCGCCUGCCACGAACACCGCCUCCUCCCACUUCAGGACUGUUGCCCCUCCUGCCCUGAAACCACCUCCCAGAAGCCCCCACCCGUCUCCAAAGGCAACCCGAGCCAUGUUUAGAACAGGGGGCCAGAAACAUGCCACUUGAGGGGCUUCCCGAAGACUCGGGGCUAAGACUCAAGUCCCCCUUUUCUCUCUCUCAUCCUGCAGCCUUGGCUCUGCUCCCCAAGCACCAGCUCCUUCCCCGUCUGCCUCACCCGCCCUGCCACUGAGCUCUGCCCUUCAGCCUGGCUCCUCCCGGAACACUCAGCCCGGAGGACGCGUCUCCAUCAUGUCCCCCUCUCCUGUAACUCCUGGACUGUCGGGUUCUCUGUUUUCUGUGGAAUGUCCAGCGUCUCCUCUCCUGACUCCACCCCAGGGCCUGCAGGAGCCCGAGAGAGGACAGCGAGAACAACAGGGGUAAGUGAGACACCCACCUUCCCAAAGUUCGCAUCAUUUUCUGAACCCAGCCACAUGUCUGGGACCUCAGAGCACACGCCAUGACACGGGCUGUACGUCAAGUGCCAGGACGUCAGAGUACAGCUGGUGGCCUGGCCUGGUAACCGUGCAGACCUGGGUCCAGCCACGCAGGUUCUCUCCUGGUGGGGACAGGUCUGUCAGCUCCCUAAGCCUUCAGGGCCGGCUCUGGUGAAGGGAAGGGGGAUCUGCAGAUAGAGCUGGGGGAAAGAGGAUAAUGGGAAAGUCGCCUGAUAUCAGCUUGGUCCCUGCUGGAAGCCAAGAAAGUCCAAACCCAGCUCCCCCACCCAGUGAGGUGUGGUGUCCACAAGUUCAGUAACUGCAUGAGCUGACCCUAAGUGUCAGUUUGACUUAAAACUAAUGUCUACUUAAAUCGUUUGGAAGGAGGCGAUUGAGGUGGUGAAGUAGAAGAAUGCAGAGUUCACUCCACCCACAAAUACAUCAAAACUACACUUAAAACUGGAACAAUUUUCACAGAACACCAGCUGAGAGCAGGCAGAUCUCAAAUACCCAGUGCUGAAAGAAAGACCCCCAUGUAACCUGGUAAGACUAAAGGAAAAAACCGGGGCAGGGAGAAUGCAGGUGGGGCCUGCGCCCCAAGGGAGGGAGCUGUGGAAGAGGACAGGCUUCCUCACCUCGGGACCCUCCCAUGCCAGGACAGAGGGGAGGCUGCAGGGGCCUGGACUUUGCCCACGAGGAAUGUGCACUGGCUGCCAGCAGAGAGAGGAACCGAAACUCCCAGCAGCCGCAUCCCCGCACUCCCCAGCCCAAGACCCACGCCUGCUGUUGGGCAGUGCCUGGGACUGAAGCUCGGGCGGACACACCCGAGGCGGGGAUUUGGUCUGGUGGUGUGGUCCAGAGUGCGGGUCUGCCCUGCAAGCCUUGUUGUCAGCGUGCUCACGAUGAGUGUUAGCAUGCCAGAGGCAGGUGGAGCGGACGCACAGACGGGGUCAGUCUUGUGGCUGUGCGUGCUGGGUGGCGGGCAGCGUCUCAGAGUUGCCUCUCCCAGCGGGAGCGCUUCAGUCCCACCUCCCUCUCGCUGCAGCUCAGAACCGGGUCUGGGGGCUUCUACUCCAACAACUGGGGAGCAAACCCUAACCCCCAACGGGGCAGUGACCAGCACAGAGCAAAGAGAAGGCCCUGAUCAUCACAGCACCAGGCACACCCCACCCCCCAUCAAGGGGACAGUGGCCAGCAUAGCCUGCGCCAAAGCCACAGCUGGUGUCCACAACAAAUACAGCCUUUGCACCAGAAAUACUAGUGUGACAUAGUUCUACAGAGGGGUGGUCCCACAUAAACAUGGUCUUUCAGGACCAUAGUACAUCACUGUUUCUCCUAAAUUUAUAAAGAAAAAGAAAUACAUAUAAAAUGAAAAAGUAGAGGAACUACUCCUGCUUAAGAGAAAUUCGCUGAAAGAACAAACAGACCUUUCCAGUCUAGCAGGCCCCCAAGUUCAAAAGGGAGGUAAUAAAAAUGCUGAAGUAAUUAAGAAGGCUAUCAGUAGAAAUGUAGAUCCUGUAACAAGGAACUAGAAACCAUAAGGAAGAGCCAGUCAAAAUCAGACAACUCAGCUGCCAAGGUUAAAAACCAGCAAACUAAGUAAUUCAGAAGAACCAAUAAGUGACCUGUAACAGAAAUCACCCAAUCAGAACAGCAGACAAAGACAGAUGAAAAAAAUGAAAGAAACACAUUAGGUAUAUAAGAUAAUACUAAAGCAUGCCAACCUAUGCAUUAUAGGAAUUUCAGGAGGAAGAGAAAGGGAAAAGUGGAUCAAAAAUAUAUUUGAAGAAAUUACGGCUGAAAACUUCCCAAACCUGAAGAAGGGAAAAAGGUAUCCAGGUGAAAGAAACAGAGUCCCAAACAGGAUGAAUCCAUACGGACCCACACCAAGAUGUGUCAUAAUGAAAAUGCCAAAAGUUAAACAGGAUUUUAAAGGCAGCAAGAGAAAAAGGUCAGUUACAAGGGAGCCCCCAUAAGGCCACCAGCUAAUUUCUCUGCAGAAGCGCUGAAUGUGUCUUACCACUCUCUGGCCUGCAAAGUCCUGAAAGGGAAAACUCUGCAACCUAGGACACUAUUCAGAAAGAUAAUCAUUUAGAACAAAAGGAGAGGGAAAGAAUUUCUCAGACAAGCAAAAACUGCAAGGAUACAGCAAUACUAAGCCUAUCCUAAAGGAAACA
Molecule: long non-coding RNA, 5392 nt
Organism: Cervus elaphus (red deer)
Lineage: Eukaryota; Metazoa; Chordata; Mammalia; Artiodactyla; Cervidae
Exons: 4
Source: RefSeq, a predicted model, not a curated record